UGAAAGUUUAAGUCAAAUUAUAUCGGUAUUGAUUAUUUGCAUUGCUAAAAAUUUAUUAUUUUAUUGUUAAACAAAGCUAUAAAAACCUAGUGCGCGAGUGAUGUUUUCAAUGAUUUCUCAUUUAAAAUCGAACGAGUAGGUAGAGUAGCUACAAGUGCAAGCGAGGCAAUUUCUACGUAGCAUGCGUUAAAACGCAUGUAUUAGGCACGGGAAACACUAUGUGUUUAUAGCUUUUUUUAACAAUAAAAAAAUUAAUUUUUAGCAAUGCAAAUAAUCAAAACCGAUACAAUUUGACUUAAACUUUCAAAUGCGGUAAACAGAAUUGCUACUUUAUUUUUUAAUCAAAAGUUAUUCUGUUUCAAAAAUUGUAAUUUUUCGAUUUUUUGAAAGUUCAACCGCAGUUAUCUCGAAAACAAUGCAUUCUACGAAAAAACUUGUAGGAAUAUUUUUUGCUUAAAAUGACCCAAAAAAUACAAAAAGAUGUUUUGUUUUGCGAGAAAUCGCUGUUAUGUAAUUCCUCAAGUUCUUUGUCUAUAACAAUCUUAUCGACAUCCGGAUCAACUGUUACCCAAAAAAUUCGUAUUCUGCGGGUCAAAAUAUAUAAAAAAAAAACUUGGGUAAGUCCAUUACACGUGUUAGACUAUAUCUAUCAAACAUCAAAAAUUUGUAUUUGAUAAGUAGGUACUUAGGUUUGAAAAUUAAGGUAAUUAUGAACCAAUUUCAUGGUAAUUAUUUGAUGAAACGCGUUUAAAGCUUUAAAGUUUGUUGCUUAGAACUGUAAAAACCUUAAUAAUCUGGGUAAAGAUAAAAUAUUUUGUACUUUAAUCUUUACUCGAAUUUUAAGUACUAUUUAGGAACUUUCUUUCGGACCUUUUUCCUAGACGAAUGAAAGCGGAAUGUGACUGCAUAUUGUAGAGCCCUUUUCGCUUUCUUUAGUCGUCGUCUUUUGUCUUAUAAAUUGUACAAGUCAGACAUUAAGGAUGUUACCAGAAUGAGGUUUCAAUAAGAAAAGUUUCAGAUUUAAAUAAUUAUUUAGGAUUUUACUUUUUACUUUAAUAAUGAAUUUUGUAUCUGGGACUUUUCUCUUUUCUUUAAUUUAAAAUUGUUUUUUACUUUUAAUAAUAUCCUUGUAUUAUCGAUAUCAAUGUUUAGAUCAUAGGAUAUUUUUCUGGCUUCAAGUUGAUUCGUCGAAUUGAAUAGGUAACCUUGUUUUUGCAAUAAUAAAGAAACUAUUUUAUCUAUAAGUAUUUUGUUUGUCUUAAUAUUAGAUUAAUUUGAUACUAUUGUCAUUUUUAAA
Long non-coding RNA from Diabrotica virgifera virgifera (western corn rootworm), 1297 nucleotides. RefSeq lists it as uncharacterized. The record is from RefSeq and is a predicted model, not a curated record. Lineage: Eukaryota; Metazoa; Arthropoda; Insecta; Coleoptera; Chrysomelidae. The transcript has 2 exons.